Molecule: ribosomal RNA, 466 nt
Filed under: uncultured bacterium
Lineage: Bacteria
Description: partial 16S ribosomal RNA
Rfam family: Bacterial small subunit ribosomal RNA
Source: RNAcentral
GACGAACGCUGGCGGCGUGCUUAACACAUGCAAGUCGAACGGAAAGGCCCUGCUUGCAGGGUACUCGAGUGGCGAACGGGUGAGUAACACGUGGGUGAUCUGCCCUGCACUUCGGGAUAAGCUUGGGAAACUGGGUCUAAUACCGGAUAGGAGCCAUCUUUAGUGUGGUGGUUGGAAAGUUUUUUCGGUGUAGGAUGAGCUCGCGGCCUAUCAGCUUGUUGGUGGGGUAAUGGCCUACCAAGGCGGCGACGGGUAGCCGGCCUGAGAGGGUGUACGGCCACAUUGGGACUGAGAUACGGCCCAGACUCCUACGGGAGGCAGCAGUGGGGAAUAUUGCACAAUGGGCGCAAGCCUGAUGCAGCGACGCCGCGUGGGGGAUGAAGGCCUUCGGGUUGUAAACUCCUGUCGCUAGGGACGAAGCUUUGUUGUGACGGUACCUAGAGAAGAAGCACCGGCUAACUACGUG